Molecule: ribosomal RNA, 594 nt
Filed under: Slabberia halterata
Lineage: Eukaryota; Metazoa; Cnidaria; Hydrozoa; Anthoathecata; Corynidae
Description: Dipurena halterata partial 16S ribosomal RNA
Rfam family: Bacterial large subunit ribosomal RNA
Source: RNAcentral
GCCCUUAAAAUAAUUAAAGGUGUGACCUGCCCAAUGAUUGUAAAAUAAAAAAUUUUAAAUAAAUUUUACUACAAUUUAAAGGACGCGGUAUCUUGACCGUGGUAAUGUAGCAUAAUCACUCGCCACUUAAUUGGUGGAUAGUAUGAAUGGUUGAACGAAUAUAACACUGUCUCAAGUAAAGGUUUUAUAAAAUUGGAUUAAUAGUAAAGAUACUAUUUUAAAUUAUAAGACGAAAAGACCCUAUAGAGCUUAACUAUAAUCUUUUUUAAAACUAUAAAUUUAUUUAUAAAAAUAAAAAGACUGGUAGUUUAGUUGGGGCGACUAUCUUCUAUAUAAAACGAAGAUAAACAAUAUUAAUAAAAUAAUUUAUUGUAUAAUAAAUAAAUUUAACAAUUACUAAUGUAGGUAAUAAUGACCCGUUUUCAUCUUAGAAAAGAAAAAACGAUCAAUUGAUAAAAGCUACCUUAGGGAUAACAGGAUAAUUUUAUCUUAGAGAUCUUAUCGAAGAUAAAGUUUGUCACCUCUAUGUUGAAUUAAGAUAUCCUAGUAAUGCAGCAGUUACUAAAGGUAGGUCUGUUCGACCUUUAAAAUCUU